RNAcentral lists this ribosomal RNA (501 nucleotides) under uncultured bacterium. RNAcentral describes it as "partial 16S ribosomal RNA". It matches the Rfam family "Bacterial small subunit ribosomal RNA", at positions 30 to 523 of the family's 1533-position model. The record is from RNAcentral.
AUUGAACGCUGGCGGCAGGCUUAACACAUGCAAGUCGAGCGGGGGAAGGUAGCUUGCUACUGGACCUAGCGGCGGACGGGUGAGUAAUGCUUAGGAAUCUGCCUAUUAGUGGGGGACAACAUCUCGAAAGGGAUGCUAAUACCGCAUACGUCCUACGGGAGAAAGCAGGGGAUCUUCGGACCUUGCGCUAAUAGAUGAGCCUAAGUCGGAUUAGCUAGUUGGUGGGGUAAAGGCCUACCAAGGCGACGAUCUGUAGCGGGUCUGAGAGGAUGAUCCGCCACACUGGGACUGAGACACGGCCCAGACUCCUACGGGAGGCAGCAGUGGGGAAUAUUGGACAAUGGGGGGAACCCUGAUCCAGCCAUGCCGCGUGUGUGAAGAGGGCCUUAUGGAUGUAAAGCACUUUAAGCGAGGAGGAGGCUACUCUAGUUAAUACCUAGGGAUAGUGGACGUUACUCGCAGAAUAAGCACCGGCUAACUCUGUGCCAGCCGCCGCAGUAA